RNAcentral lists this unclassified non-coding RNA (330 nucleotides) under uncultured Tremellaceae. RNAcentral describes it as "sequence contains ITS1". The stretch from base 1 to 105 matches the Rfam family "5.8S ribosomal RNA", at positions 50 to 154 of the family's 154-position model. Lineage: Eukaryota; Fungi; Basidiomycota; Tremellomycetes; Tremellales; Tremellaceae. The record is from RNAcentral.
GAAAUGCGAUAAGUCAUGUGAAUUGCAGAAUUCAGUGGAUCAUCGAAUCUUUGAACGCACCUUGCGCCUCUCCGUAUUCCGAAAGGCCUGCCUGUUUGACUGUCAUGAAAUCUCAAUCCCCCCGGGUUUUCUGAACCCGAGGUGGACUUGGACAUGGGUGUCUGCCGUCUCGUACGGCUCGCCUUAAAUGACUCAGUGGGAUCUUCAGCAUCCGUGGCAGACGUAAUAAGUUUCGUCUCGUCCCUUGCUGUGAGGACCGCUCAUAAGCUGCCAUCGCUCACCACUUUUGACUCUUACCUCAAAUCAGGUAGGACUACCCGCUGAACUUAA